Molecule: long non-coding RNA, 873 nt
Organism: Amphiprion ocellaris (clown anemonefish)
Lineage: Eukaryota; Metazoa; Chordata; Actinopteri; Pomacentridae
Source: Ensembl
UGACAAGAUGGCGCCAGUGUGUGUGGCCCGCGGUCUGUCCCUCCGUGUUCUAAGUGUUUUACUGUUGAUUUUAUGCACUAUUACAGUGGAUGUCAGUUCCCUAUUGACUUAUGAUCGCCAGACCUUGCUUGAUCUGCGACCUUCUUUUGAAAAUCUGUUAAAACCACGACACAAUCCAGGCCAAAGAGCGUGCCCCCCUCUCCUCUCUGGAAUACCGCCUUACCUGCUUCGUGGGCCCGCUGCACCUUUACGCAGAAGCCGCAGACGCCGCCGAGGGAAGCGAAGUGGAAGACUGGUUCGAUUAAGGGGCUGUUUCGCGGCCUCUCCCACUCCACCGUCGUCUUUCAUGGGACAUAUUGAUCCGCCACUUCGCCGCUUUGUCCCGUGGCGCUCCCGGGACCCUAUCCACCGAUGUCUUGUUCCAGUGGCUGGCUCGGAUGAAGGGGGAUUCCUACGCCCUCCCCGCUUUCGCCUGUCCGAGCGCGGCGUGAAUUUCCACAACCUGCGGCCGUUGGAUCGUACGCCAAAUCCGACUCCGCUGCCCGCUGCCUCGGCCAGGAUAGGCCUUGUGAAUGCCUGCUCGGUGGUCCACAAAACUUUCAUUCUAAAGGACUUCUUCAUGUCAAACGAUCUGGAUUUCCUCUUCAUCACGGAGACCAAGCUGCUCGUUGACAAAGCAGGAUUUGGCUACAGAGGAGAAGCAGGGCUACAAGUUGUCUUCCCUCACUGGCACAGCAGUCGUCUGAUACAUGACCACCACCCCCAGACAUAUAAAGAAAGAAGGUCAAAAUCUAAAUGAGGUGUCUCAUGUUCACUGUGAGGAUCUUCUGAGUGAAGCCAGCAGAAGGAAAACCUCAUCUGGUUGUGAAGAAG